GGGGUGCAAUUGGGGAGCGCUUCCUUACCCCUUUUCUUGAAAGAGGGAAGAGGUCACAGGUUCAAUCCCUGUAGCGCCCG
RNAcentral lists this transfer RNA (80 nucleotides) under Acidimicrobiia bacterium. Its description in RNAcentral is "tRNA-OTHER". Lineage: Bacteria; Bacillati; Actinomycetota; Acidimicrobiia. The record is from RNAcentral.